GGCUCAGAUUGAACGCUGGCGGCAGGCCUAACACAUGCAAGUCGAGCGGUAGCACAGGAGAGCUUGCUCUCUGGGUGACGAGCGGCGGACGGGUGAGUAAUGUCUGGGAAACUGCCUGAUGGAGGGGGAUAACUACUGGAAACGGUAGCUAAUACCGCAUAACGUCUUCGGACCAAAGUGGGGGACCUUCGGGCCUCACGCCAUCAGAUGUGCCCAGAUGGGAUUAGCUAGUAGGUGGGGUAAUGGCUCACCUAGGCGACGAUCCCUAGCUGGUCUGAGAGGAUGACCAGCCACACUGGAACUGAGACACGGUCCAGACUCCUACGGGAGGCAGCAGUGGGGAAUAUUGCACAAUGGGCGCAAGCCUGAUGCAGCCAUGCCGCGUGUGUGAAGAAGGCCUUCGGGUUGUAAAGCACUUUCAGCGAGGAGGAAGGGUUCAGUGUUAAUAGCACUGUUCAUUGACGUUACUCGCAGAAGAAGCACCGGCUAACUCCGUGCCAGCAGCCGCGGUAAUACGGAGGGUGCAAGCGUUAAUCGGAAUUACUGGGCGUAAAGCGCACGCAGGCGGUUUGUUAAGUCAGAUGUGAAAUCCCCGCGCUUAACGUGGGAACUGCAUUUGAAACUGGCAAGCUAGAGUCUUGUAGAGGGGGGUAGAAUUCCAGGUGUAGCGGUGAAAUGCGUAGAGAUCUGGAGGAAUACCGGUGGCGAAG
RNAcentral lists this ribosomal RNA (710 nucleotides) under Serratia sp. (in: enterobacteria). Its description in RNAcentral is "bacterial SSU rRNA". It matches the Rfam family "Bacterial small subunit ribosomal RNA", at positions 21 to 720 of the family's 1533-position model. The record is from RNAcentral. Lineage: Bacteria; Pseudomonadati; Pseudomonadota; Gammaproteobacteria; Enterobacterales; Yersiniaceae.